RNAcentral lists this ribosomal RNA (546 nucleotides) under uncultured bacterium. Its description in RNAcentral is "bacterial SSU rRNA". It matches the Rfam family "Bacterial small subunit ribosomal RNA", at positions 8 to 527 of the family's 1533-position model. The record is from RNAcentral.
AGAGUUUGAUCAUGGCUCAGAACGAACGCUGGCGGCGUGGAUAAGACAUGCAAGUCGAGCGGAAUACAUAGGGUAGCAAUAUUCUGUGUGUUCAGCGGCGCAAGGGUGCGUAACACGUGGGUAAUUUGCCAUGAAGUCUGGAAUAACUUGCUGAAAGGCGAGCUAAUGCCGGAUGUGACUUCCGAAGGGCAUCUUUUGGAAUUCAAAGUUGGGGACCGUAAGGCCUGACGCUUUGUGAUAAGCCCGCGGUCUAUCAGCUAGUUGGUGAGGUAAUGGCUCACCAAGGCUAAGACGGAUAGCUGGUCUGAGAGGACGACCAGCCACACUGGAACUGAGACACGGUCCAGACACCUACGGGUGGCAGCAGUCGAGAAUUUUUCACAAUGGGCGAAAGCCUGAUGGAGCGACGCCGCGUGGGGGAUGAAUGGCUUCGGCCCGUAAACCCCUGUCAUUUGCGAACAAACCUUACCGGUUAACAACCGGUGAGCUGAUUGUAGCGGAAGAGGAAGGGACGGCUAACUCUGUGCUAGCCGCCGCGGUAAUACA